CCCUCAUCCAGGAACCCCGGGUACCACUCCUAGGGGGACUGAUGUCUGUGUGGAUGACAUGAGCAGAGACACAGAGCGUCCCCAACUGCCGACCGGAGCCCGCGGCUGCCCAGAGCACGGUUGCUCAGCAGGACACCCGUCCCCACCAUGCUGGGUCUGCUGAAAGCUGAACCUCUGCCUGGAUGGGGGUUCAGGCUGCUUGGAGGUGCAGGGUUCGAAGAUCUGGGGUGUCCAGACAGGGCGAGCACAUGGACUCUUACCUUCAGGACCCUAUGGAGCUGAAGGCGGCUUCUCUGCCUGACCCGCUGUCCUCUCAGCAGAGCCACAUGGGAGGGGCCCUACUGGACUGCAUCAGGGAGGAGGGUGGCCAGCAUGGCUUCUCACCCGACCAGUCCACGCCUGCCACCCGGGGACUGGCAUUAUCCCUGUCCAAUCUCAAAGGUCUCCAGCUCGGAAGAGAACUGGUACAGACACCCACCCGAAGAUGGCAUUCUGGGUCUCUCUCCUCUUUCCCAUGCACCUCACCCACGCAACCGUCCCACUGCCUCCCCUUCCAACAUCAGACCCUCCUUAUGAAAAUGACCCCUUUGGGGUCUUGUGAACCUCA
Long non-coding RNA from Odocoileus virginianus texanus, 607 nucleotides. RefSeq lists it as uncharacterized. The record is from RefSeq and is a predicted model, not a curated record. NCBI's taxonomy places the organism in Eukaryota, Metazoa, Chordata, Mammalia, Artiodactyla, Cervidae.